Molecule: RNA transcript, 3383 nt
Organism: Globicephala melas (long-finned pilot whale)
Lineage: Eukaryota; Metazoa; Chordata; Mammalia; Artiodactyla; Delphinidae
Gene: FICD
Gene name: FIC domain protein adenylyltransferase
Source: RefSeq, a predicted model, not a curated record
GCAGAGCGGGAACCCGGAAAUGCGAGGCGCAGACAAAUUGAGGAAGCCAAUACGCUGCGAAGAGGAUGGCGGGCCGGCCAAUGGAGAGUCGCCGAGGGCGGGGCCACGGGCUGACGGCAAAGGUCUCCGGAGCCGGCGGCCAGCCGAGACUGCGAGUGCUGAGAAGGCGACAGCAGAGCAGGGCCCGGUAGUGGCGCGAGGUUGUCUGGGAAUUGACUUGCUCUCUGUGCAUCAGUUUCUCUCGUCUGUAAAGUGGAGCCUAGGGGCUGCUUUCCUCCGUGAGGUGGUGAGGGAUCCUGCCACUGUGGACAUGUGCAAGGGGCCCACCCCUGGGUCCAGAUGACACUCAUGUCGAUGGCUUCAGUGAUGGCAGUGACUGAACCAAAAUGGGUCUCAGUCUGGGGCCGCUUCCUGUGGGUGAUACUGCUGAGCAUGGCGCUGGGCUCCUUGAUGGCCCUGCUGCUGCCGCUGGGGGCCAUGGAGGAGCAGUGUCUGGCUGUCCUCAAAGGCUUCUACCUGCUCAGGAGCAAGUUGGACAGGGCCCAGCCUACUGUCACCAAGUGCACCAGACCAUCCACGGAGCUCAGUGUCACCUCCAGGGAUGCAGCACCGCUGGUGGUCAAGACCAAGGCCUCUGCAGCCAGCAAGUUAGAAGCCAAAGCAGCUUUGAACCAAGCCCUGGAAAUGAAACGCCAGGGCAAGCGGGAGAAAGCCCACAAGCUCUUCCUGCACGCCCUCAACAUGGACCCGGGCUUCGUGGACGCGCUCAAUGAGUUCGGCAUCUUCUCAGAAGAGGACAGGGACAUCAUCCAGGCUGACUACCUGUACACCAGAGCACUGACCAUCGCGCCCCACCACAAGAAGGCGCUGGUCAACCGCGACCGCACGCUGCCGCUGGUGGAGGAGAUUGACCAGCGGUACUUCAGCAUCAUCGACAGCAAAGUGAAGAAGGUCAUGUCCAUCCCCAAGGGCAACUCGGCACUGCGCCGGGUCAUGGAGGAGACGUACUACCACCACAUCUACCACACAGUGGCCAUCGAAGGCAACACUCUCACCCUCUCAGAGAUCAGGCACAUCCUGGAGACCCGCUACGCCGUGCCGGGGAAGAGCCUGGAGGAGCAGAAUGAGGUCAUCGGCAUGCACGCGGCCAUGAAGUACGUCAACACGACGCUGCUCUCCCGCAUCGGCUCUGUCAGCAUCAGCGACGUGCUGGAGAUCCACCGGCGGGUGCUGGGGUACGUGGAUCCCGUGGAAGCUGGCCGCUUUCGCACGACCCAGGUCCUGGUGGGCCACCACGUCCCGCCCCACCCUCAGGAGGUGGAGAAGCAGAUGCAGGAGUUCAUACAAUGGCUCAACUCGGAGGACGCCAUGAACCUGCACCCGGUGGAGUUUGCGGCCCUGGCCCACUAUAAACUCGUCUACAUCCACCCCUUCAUCGACGGCAACGGCAGGACCUCGCGCCUGCUCAUGAACCUCAUCCUCAUGCAGGCGGGCUACCCGCCCAUCACCAUCCGCAAGGAGCAGAGGUCCGAGUACUACCACGUGCUGGAGGUGGCCAACGAGGGCGACGUGAGGCCGUUCAUCCGCUUCAUUGCCAAGUGCACGGAGACGACCCUGGACACCCUGCUCUUUGCCACCACAGAGUACCCUGUGGCACUGCCAGAGGCCAGACCCAACCACUCUAGGUUCAAGGAGACGCUGCCUGUGAAGCCCUAACGCUCUAAAUCCUCCCUUGGUGGCAAAGGAUGUCCCGGGGGGGAAUAAAUCCAAGAAACUCAGCAAUUCUAGAAACCUGGUCAUCUCCCAGAGUAAAAGAAGAUGGGUAAGAAACCUAAACAUUCUUUACCUCCAAAUGCUUCUUUAAAGAAGAAAACUAAGUUAUUAAGCCUCGUCCCUAAGAUAACUUAUAAUUGAGCCCAGUUAUUUAUUUCCCUCAGAGCUGGUUAAUGUGUGCUGUCUGUGCUGGUGGCCCCGAUCCUUGGGGUGGCCCCAGCAGGCUUUGGGGGCAUCAGUGCUCCUUGUGUGACCAGAACACAGGUUCUGGAGCAGAAUCUGCACUGAGGUGGGGUCCGGAGGAGUAACCCCUUGCAGCCCUUUCUGGAACCGGCCGCGAGGGUCUGUGACUACCUGAGAGAAGUCCGCACGGCUGAGGAGAACCCGGUCGCAGUUGUGAGAAGUGACUGAAAGCUUCCUUUCGUACAGGCGUUGGCUCCCCUACCAAGAGAACGGGCCUCUCUGCAGGGAAGUGGAUGGCCGGCCACCCCAGAGAACACAGGUUCUUCUGACUGCUCCACAGCCGCUGCUUGAAUUCAAAAACACCUAACGUUCUGUGCAGAAGAUAAAGAUGAGGUACAGAGAACCUAUCAAUUAAAAAACUUAUUUACAAAACAACAUGAAAUUGGAGAUCUGCCUGGAUGGUUGAUAACAUUAAGGUAUUACUGCUAAUGUUUCUAGAAAUGAUAAAAACCAAGGCCUUUAAGUCCUUAGAGAUACGUGCUACAGUAUUAUUAGGUGACUAUCCCUCCAGAACACAGGAUACAAGAGGGGCAGGAGGUGGAGAUGAAGACGGGCUAUGAGCUGAGCAAUGCUGAAGCUCGAUGACAGGCACACGGGGCUUAGUUUACUACUUAUCUGUUUCAAUUGUUAAGUUAAAAAAUAUAGGAAAGCCUGAAUGAUGCAUAAAACCUUUAGAAACAGAUAAAUGAGCUGAUUUUCGUGACAUAGGAAAGAAUUCCGAUUUUUUUCCCCAGAGUGCCUUUUAUAAAGUCAGUUUCCCUACUGAACUGCUCACUUUCAAAGCAAUAAAUACUGGAUAAAAGAUGUGGGUAAAAAAGCUUGAAAGCUGUUAAGUGCCAAAAAGCUUGAAAGCUGUUAAGUGCCAAACUGCUGUAAACUGAAGUUUAAAACCGAAGAUAUCACAGCAGAAAUGGUUUAAAUCAAAGUGCCAAGCGGAUUUGACUUACAAAAGUUCUAUUUACACACCCAUUAGGUAAACCAAGGUACACCCAUUUCAAAAUACAUAUUUGAAUGCACACCUGAGUACCUUUCGACAAGAAGUUUUUAAGAGAACUUCAGUUUAAUAAACAAAGCUAAAUGGGGAGAAUUUAAGUUUGCACUUGACAAUGCUAUUUAAACAAAACCAUAGGGCUGAAACUCAGUAUUUAGACAAAGACACAGUUCACUAGUCACUAGGCAAAGAAAAACGUCCAUAGCAGAUGGCGCACAGAAUUCCUAUACAAAUGUCACAAGUAUUUUGCUUUUAGGAAACAAAACAGUGGGUUGACGUGUCAUUUACAAAUACGUAAUAUAAAAACGCACCGCCCCCGUGAACAAAAGCCCAUCAGAUGUUUUAUGUGAUGCCCCUUGCCCCACCCCUUUACUAA